Long non-coding RNA from Thalassophryne amazonica, 187 nucleotides. RefSeq lists it as uncharacterized. The record is from RefSeq and is a predicted model, not a curated record. The transcript has 3 exons. NCBI's taxonomy places the organism in Eukaryota, Metazoa, Chordata, Actinopteri, Batrachoidiformes, Batrachoididae.
CUCAAACAUUCGUUCCCCAAUUUCAUAUAUGAGCUUAUUGCCAAAAUUUGGGUAGAUACAUUAAAAACUGCUUCUGAAAAGAAAUUAAUCUUCCUCGUCAAAGAGCCACACUUAGAAGAUGAAAGUCUUCUACUAGCACCCUUUGGGAAAACUGGUGCUGUGAUUUGACGCUAAAUGAAUAAAAUUG